Molecule: long non-coding RNA, 188 nt
Organism: Antechinus flavipes (yellow-footed antechinus)
Lineage: Eukaryota; Metazoa; Chordata; Mammalia; Dasyuromorphia; Dasyuridae
Exons: 3
Source: RefSeq, a predicted model, not a curated record
AGUAUAGAGCAAACUCGUGCAAUGCUCACUUAUGAUGGAUGUGGCUCUUUUCAACAGCGAGUUAGCCAACUCCAGGAUUUGCAGGCUUGUAUGAAAUGGCGUCGUGUGGAAAACGAGAAUUCAGACAUAUGGAAUAUUUUCUGCAAACUGCUGAGUCAGCAGACUAUAAUCUUGGCAAUAAAUUCCAG